This 68-nucleotide transfer RNA is filed under the name Nipponacmea nigrans. Its description in RNAcentral is "tRNA-Met". The record is from RNAcentral. Lineage: Eukaryota; Metazoa; Mollusca; Gastropoda; Lottiidae.
UCUGCGGUAAGUUAAGAAAACUAUGGGGCUCAUGCCCUCUCAUUGGCUCCUAGCUGGGCCCUGCAGAU